This 468-nucleotide ribosomal RNA is filed under the name uncultured bacterium. Its description in RNAcentral is "partial 16S ribosomal RNA". It matches the Rfam family "Bacterial small subunit ribosomal RNA", at positions 28 to 507 of the family's 1533-position model. The record is from RNAcentral.
GACGAACGCUGGCGGCGUGCUUAACACAUGCAAGUCGAACGGAAAGGCCCUGCUUUUGUUGGGUGCUCGAGUGGCGAACGGGUGAGUAACACGUGAGUAACCUGCCCUUGACUUUGGGAUAACUUCAGGAAACUGGGGCUAAUACCGGAUAGGAUCUCCUGCUGCAUGGUGGGGGUUGGAAAGUUUCGGCGGUUGGGGAUGGACUCGCGGCUUAUCAGCUUGUUGGUGGGGUAGUGGCUUACCAAGGGUUUGACGGGUAGCCGGCCUGCGAGGGUGACCGGCCACAUUGGGACUGAGAUACGGCCCAGACUCCUACGGGAGGCAGCAGUGGGGAAUAUUGCACAAUGGGCGGAAGCCUGAUGCAGCAACGCCGCGUGCGGGAUGACGGCCUUCGGGUUGUAAACCGCUUUCGCCUGUGACGAAGCGUGAGUGACGGUAAUGGGUAAAGAAGCACCGGCUAACUACGUG